This 480-nucleotide ribosomal RNA is filed under the name uncultured bacterium. RNAcentral's name for it is "partial 16S ribosomal RNA". It matches the Rfam family "Bacterial small subunit ribosomal RNA", at positions 28 to 523 of the family's 1533-position model. The record is from RNAcentral.
GACGAACGCUGGCGGCGUGCCUAACACAUGCAAGUCGAGCGAGUGAAUCUCCUUCGGGAGUGAAACUAGCGGCGGACGGGUGAGUAACACGUGGGCAACCUGCCUCAUAGAGGGGAAUAGCCUUUCGAAAGGAAGAUUAAUACCGCAUAAGAUUGUAGCUUCGCAUGAAGUAGCAGUUAAAGGAGUAAUCCGCUAUGAGAUGGGCCCGCGGCGCAUUAGCUAGUUGGUGAGGUAACGGCUCACCAAGGCGACGAUGCGUAGCCGACCUGAGAGGGUGAUCGGCCACAGUGGGACUGAGACACGGCCCGGACUCCUACGGGAGGCAGCAGUGGGGAAUAUUGCACAAUGGGGGAAACCCUGAUGCAGCAACGCCGCGUGAGUGAUGACGGCCUUCGGGUUGUAAAGCUCUGUCUUCAGGGACGAUAAUGACGGUACCUGAGGAGGAAGCCACGGCUAACUACGUGCCAGCCGCCGCCGUAA